AGAAGAGUAAGCUAAUUUAAAGCUAUUGGGUCCAUGCCCCGACAAUGAAGGAAAAUCCUUCCUCUCCUA
This 69-nucleotide transfer RNA is filed under the name Osteolaemus osborni. RNAcentral's name for it is "Osteolaemus tetraspis osborni tRNA-Met". The record is from RNAcentral. Lineage: Eukaryota; Metazoa; Chordata; Crocodylia; Crocodylidae.